Molecule: long non-coding RNA, 402 nt
Filed under: Bos indicus x Bos taurus (hybrid cattle)
Lineage: Eukaryota; Metazoa; Chordata; Mammalia; Artiodactyla; Bovidae
Description: lncRNA (ENSBIXG00000030112.1)
Source: RNAcentral
AGAAAAAUGAAAGUGGAUUUUUGGGGGAUGUAAGGGGUCAAAAAAUGAAUAUUGAAUUUAACUGUACAUGUCUAUAUUUUGUUUUUCAGAAAAAUUUUCAUGGAAAGAUAUAACUUUAAUUGUGUUUGGAAUCGGAAUAAUUGUCCUAAUAAUAAUAAAUGCAUUUCUCUAUUAUCGCAUAAAAAGAUACAAAGAACGGGGUAAGGACACUGAAGGACACUCAGAUGCGGUAGCAGUAGAAAAUGGUAAGUUCCAUUAGCCAUUUUACACUGUGCACAUAGUCUUUGGAUCUUCUGUCCAUGUUGCCUUGUUCCUUGUUGUUUUACUGUCCUUGAAACAACAUGUUCCUUAUAUGCUGUAUGACUUAAAUUUACAUUAUUGUGCCUUAUUUUUUCUCACUCC